Molecule: ribosomal RNA, 253 nt
Filed under: uncultured bacterium
Lineage: Bacteria
Description: partial 16S ribosomal RNA
Rfam family: Bacterial small subunit ribosomal RNA
Source: RNAcentral
UACGGAGGGAGCUAGCGUUGUUCGGAAUUACUGGGCGUAAAGCGCACGUAGGCGGCUUGGUAUGUCGGGUGUGAAAUCCCCGGGCUCAACCUGGGAACUGCAUCCGAAACUGCCUUGCUAGAGUAUGGGAGAGGGAAGUGGAAUUUCCGGUGUAGCGGUGAAAUGCGUAGAUAUCGGAAGGAACAUCAGUGGCGAAGGCGACUUCCUGGACCAAUACUGACGCUCAGGUGCGAAAGCGUGAGGAGCAAACAGG